Molecule: ribosomal RNA, 253 nt
Filed under: uncultured bacterium
Lineage: Bacteria
Description: partial 16S ribosomal RNA
Rfam family: Bacterial small subunit ribosomal RNA
Source: RNAcentral
GACGUAGGGCGCGAGCGUUGUCCGGAUUUAUUGGGCGUAAAGAGCUCGUAGGCGGCUCGUUGCGUCGGCUGUGAAAACCCGCAGCUCAACUGUGGGCUUGCAGCUGAUACGGGCGGGCUGGGAUUCGGUAGGGGAGACUGGAAUUCCUGGUGUAGCGGUGAAAUGCGCAGAUAUCAGGAGGAACACCGGUGGCGAAGGCGGGUCUCUGGGACGGUACUGACGCUGAGACGCGAAAGCGUGGGGAGCGAACAGG